RNAcentral lists this ribosomal RNA (690 nucleotides) under uncultured bacterium. RNAcentral describes it as "bacterial SSU rRNA". It matches the Rfam family "Bacterial small subunit ribosomal RNA", at positions 555 to 1255 of the family's 1533-position model. The record is from RNAcentral.
UGGGCGUAAGCGUGCGUAGCGGCUUUUUAAGUCGGAUGUGAAAUCCCUGAGCUUAACUUAGAAUUGCAUUCGAUACCGGAAAGCUAGAGUAUGGGAGAGGAUGGUAAAUUCCAGUGUACGGUGAAAUGCGUAAGAUCUGGAGGAAUACCGAUGGCGAAGGCAGCCAUCUGGCCUAAUACUGACGCUGAGUACGAAAGCAUGGGGAGCAAACAAGAUUAAUACCCUGGUAGUCCAUGCCGUAAACGAUGUCUACUACCGUUGGGGCCUUUGAGGCUUUAGUGGCGCAGCUAACGCGAUAAGUAGACCGCCUGGGGAGUACAGUCGCAAGACUAAAACUCAAAUGAAUUGACGGGGGCCCGCACAAGCGGUGGAGCAUGUGGUUUAAUUCGAUGCAACGCGAAGAACCUUACCUGGCCUUGACAUACUAAGAACUUUCCAGAGAUGGAUUGGUGCCUUCGGGAACUUAGAUACAGGUGCUGCAUGGCUGUCGUCAGCUCGUGUCGUGAGAUGUUGGGUUAAGUCCCGCAACGAGCGCAACCCUUUUCCUUAUUUGCCAGCGGGUAAUGCCGGGAACUUUAAGGAUACUGCCAGUGACAAACUGGAGGAAGGCGGGGACGACGUCAAGUCAUCAUGGCCCUUACGGCCAGGGCUACACACGUGUACAAUGGUCGGUACAAAGGGUUGUACCUA